Molecule: ribosomal RNA, 547 nt
Filed under: uncultured fungus
Lineage: Eukaryota; Fungi
Description: eukaryotic LSU rRNA
Rfam family: Eukaryotic large subunit ribosomal RNA
Source: RNAcentral
CCCGCUGAACUUAAGCCUAUCAGUAAGCGGAGGAAAAGAAACUAACAAGGAUUCCCUUAGUAGCGGCGAGCGAAGAGGGAGUAGCCCAUAACCGAAUCCCAUGGCGUGACGUCAUUGGGAAAUGUGGUGUUGGGGUGGUUUCUUCUUGUGCACUUCAUCCAGAGUCCUAAGUCCACGUGAUUGUGGCUCAUUCCCCAGAGAGGGUGUAAGGCCCGUUAGGACUGCAAGUGUGUGACGCGAAGCUACUCAAGAGUCGGUUUGCUUGGGAAUGCAGACCAAAUCGGGUGGUAAACUCCAUCCAAGGCUACAUAUAACACGAUUCCGAUAGCGAACAAGUACCGUGAGGGAAAGUAGUGUGUUGCUGUGUAUGGCGAGGUAAGCCCCAUUGCUCGCGGGCGCAUACGCAUGCUUGCGUUGGUGUACGCGGCGAGGCACUCAUUGCCGAUUGUUUUGUUGUGUUGCAUUAAUGUUGAGUGUCUCUCUAUGCAUUACCUCAAUAAUCUGUGGUGUGUUGUAGGCCAUCCACCUGUCCCGUCUUGAAACACGG